This 256-nucleotide ribosomal RNA is filed under the name uncultured bacterium. RNAcentral describes it as "partial 16S ribosomal RNA". It matches the Rfam family "Bacterial small subunit ribosomal RNA", at positions 524 to 776 of the family's 1533-position model. The record is from RNAcentral.
UACGUAGGGUGCAAGCGUUUGUCCGGAAUUAUUGGGCGUAAAGAGCUCGUAGGCGGUGUGUCGCGUCGGCCGUGAAAACCUGGGGCUCAACUCUGGGCGUGCGGUCGAUACGGGCAUCACUUGAGUUCGGCAGGGGAGACUGGAAUUCCUGGUGUAGCGGUGAAAUGCGCAGAUAUCAGGAGGAACACCGGUGGCGAAGGCGGGUCUCUGGGCCGAUACUGACGCUGAGGUGCGAAAGCGUGGGGGAGCAAACAGG